RNAcentral lists this ribosomal RNA (419 nucleotides) under bacterium 14S232. RNAcentral's name for it is "bacterial SSU rRNA". It matches the Rfam family "Bacterial small subunit ribosomal RNA", at positions 1044 to 1461 of the family's 1533-position model. The record is from RNAcentral.
UAUGGCUUGCAGCAUCUCCCCGUGAGAUGUUGGGUUAAGUCCCGCAACGAGCGCAACCCCUGUCCUUCGUUGCCAGCAUGUAAUGGUGGGAACUCAAGGGAGACUGCCGGUGACAAACCGGAGGAAGGUGGGGAUGAGGUCAAGUCAUCAUGGCCCUUACGCCCAGGGCUACACACCUGAUACAAUGGCGCGUACAGAGGGCUGCAAGCAAGCGAUAAGGAGCGAAUCCCAAAAAGCGCGUCGUAGUCCGGAUCGGAGUCUGCAACUCGACUCCGUGAAGUCGGAAUCGAUUGUAAUCGCAAAUCAGCUCGUUGCGGUGAAUACGUUCCCGGUCCUUGUACACACCCCCCCUCACACCCAAGCAAUGGAAGCACCAGAACUAGAAAGCUUAACCUUCAACAGGACGUCACCACUACCCG